Molecule: ribosomal RNA, 453 nt
Filed under: uncultured Actinomycetales bacterium
Lineage: Bacteria; Bacillati; Actinomycetota; Actinomycetes; Actinomycetales
Description: bacterial SSU rRNA
Rfam family: Bacterial small subunit ribosomal RNA
Source: RNAcentral
ACGGGAGGCAGCAGUGGGGAAUAUUGGACAAUGGGCGGAAGCCUGAUCCAGCAACGCCGCGUGAGGGAUGACGGCCUUCGGGUUGUAAACCUCUUUCAGCACAGACGAAGCCUUGUCUUUUUGGGUGGGGUGACGGUAUGUGCAGAAGAAGCACCGGCCAACUACGUGCCAGCAGCCGCGGUAAUACGUAGGGUGCGAGCGUUGUCCGGAAUUAUUGGGCGUAAAGGGCUCGUAGGCGGUUUGUCGCGUCGGGAGUGAAAACACCGGGCUUAACUCGGUGCUUGCUUUCGAUACGGGCAGACUAGAGGUAUGCAGGGGAGAACGGAAUUCCUGGUGUAGCGGUGAAAUGCGCAGAUAUCAGGAGGAACACCGGUGGCGAAGGCGGUUCUCUGGGCAUGACCUGACGCUGAGGAGCGAAAGUGUGGGGAGCGAACAGGAUUAGAUACCCUGGUA